Molecule: transfer RNA, 83 nt
Filed under: Octopus vulgaris (common octopus)
Lineage: Eukaryota; Metazoa; Mollusca; Cephalopoda; Octopoda; Octopodidae
Also listed under: 1 other name
Rfam family: tRNA
About the family: Transfer RNA (tRNA) molecules are approximately 80 nucleotides in length. Their secondary structure includes four short double-helical elements and three loops (D, anti-codon, and T loops).
Source: Rfam by way of RNAcentral
AACACGAUGGCCGAGUGGUUAAGGCGUUGGACUUAAGUUCUAAUGGUCAAUUGUCCGCGUGGGUUCGAACCCCACUCGUGCUA